RNAcentral lists this ribosomal RNA (301 nucleotides) under uncultured bacterium. RNAcentral describes it as "partial 16S ribosomal RNA". It matches the Rfam family "Bacterial small subunit ribosomal RNA", at positions 509 to 807 of the family's 1533-position model. The record is from RNAcentral.
CAGUCGCCGCGGUAAUACGUAGGGUGCAAGCGUUAAUCGGAAUUACUGGGCGUAAAGCGUGCGCAGGCGGUUUGUUAAGACAGAUGUGAAAUCCCCGGGCUCAACCUGGGAACUGCAUUUGUGACUGGCAAGCUAGAGUAUGGCAGAGGGGGGUAGAAUUCCACGUGUAGCAGUGAAAUGCGUAGAGAUGUGGAGGAAUACCGAUGGCGAAGGCGACUCUCUGGUCUGUAACUGACGCUGAGGAGCGAAAGCGUGGGGAGCGAACAGGAUUAGAUACCCCCGUAGUCCCUGUCUCUUAUAC